UGCAGGCCACCUCUCCUCUGACGGGAA
Molecule: non-coding RNA, 27 nt
Filed under: Mus musculus (house mouse)
Lineage: Eukaryota; Metazoa; Chordata; Mammalia; Rodentia; Muridae
Source: RNAcentral